This is a non-coding RNA of Drosophila kikkawai, 946 nucleotides long. The record is from RefSeq and is a predicted model, not a curated record. Lineage: Eukaryota; Metazoa; Arthropoda; Insecta; Diptera; Drosophilidae.
UCUCAAAGCGCUGUACUGUAAGGUAGUAAAGCAAGUACAUUUUUCUAAAACAAAAUCUUGGAUGCUUUUGGCUAAAUCGAAGAGUUUGUGCUUUCCAUAAAGGACACUUGGCCUAGAAGAUCAUCUCCGGUGAAAGAAAAAAAAGGCCUUGAGGCACUUAAAUAUAUUUCAAAAGUGAGGCCAGAAUCAACUUAUGGCUUUGCUUCUCCAAACGACCAGAAGAAACCAGAAACUAUGCUGUAUAGCAACAACAAUCUGGAACAAAAAUACAGAUUUAAUGGAAAAGAAUAAAGAGCAUACAAUAAUGUUCGCAGGAUAAACAUACUUUGGUUGUAUGUACCUCAAGACUUACUGGAGUUAAGGGCGUACUUAUGGUCACAACGCAAAAUGGAAGGUUAAGAACAAUAUAUAUUAGUUACACGAUUAUCCAAUCUUCGAAUAUAUGUUAUGUGAAGACACUAACAUGUCUUAAAUAUAAGGUAAAGAAAAUGUAGAAUUCCACGGGAUUUAAAACUCAGAUGAGACAGUUAUACCAUAUUAUAAGCGGGAUAAACAUACUUAACUAUCUUCGAAGUCGAUGACUAUGAAAUAUUGCAACAAGGAAGAGACAAAUAUUAAUCAAAUACUCAUAAAAUGCCAAAUUGCAGUCUAUUAAAAUGUCAAUUCUAUUCCCUAAGCAAAUAAUUUUGGAAAUAAGUCGAAUGUCUUAUUUAAAUACAAAUUGAAUGGCCAAGAUUAUACAGAAGUACCAAAAUAUACAAGAAUAUUCGCAGGAUAAACAGGCUUUGAAGCUCAUGACCUAAGAGAUAUGCAUUGAAACAAGAAAUACCAUACUCAAUUACUGCCCAAUUGGAGUCUUCAAAUAUUCAAUUAAAAUUGCAAUUAAAUUCCUGCCAAAAUCAAGUAAUUUUGGCCACAUGGUUAAUAUGAACCAAUGGAAUAUGAA